GAAAAACAUACUUAUGGAUCAAUGUCUCGCCGAUAUUACCGAUUUUGAAUAUCAAUUUCUAUCAUAUAUCUUGAAUUCAAAGUAGAUACAUUGUAGAAGAAAAUUCUCAGUUUGCCUAAUGAUGAUUUUCAAUCUCUAGAAGCAUCUCAACUACUUGGUUCAUGGUGGGUCUAGCGUCUUUGCUUUCCGCCACGCACUUCAAUGCCACUCCAAUUAGACCUUCCAAUUUCUUCCUAUCAUAGUCCGUUCCAAUGGCGGGAUUUGUGAUCUCUUCAACCCAGUAACUACUCCUUGCCGAAGCUCCAUGUUUCUUCUCUUUCACCCAUUCGACCAACCUCUUGUGCUCCACCUCUCCCCCAUUAUCAGCCAUCGACGGGCUCCUUCCGGUCACCAUCUCUAACACCACCACCCCAUAGCUGUAGACGUCCACUUUGGAAGUGAUGGGCAGAUUAAAUACCCACUCUGGAGCCAUGUAACCUCUUGUUCCUCUUAUCAUUGAGAAGCUUGAUUUGUGAAGCUCAUGACCUCUGCUUAGUAGCUUAGAUAGACCAAAAUCUGAUAGCUUAGGCUCAUAGUUAGCAUCCAAAAGUAUAUUCUGUGGCUUUACAUCACAAUGUAGAACCCAUUCCAAGCAUUCUUCAUGCAAAUAAGCUAGGCCUUUAGCAGUGCCCAAUGCAAUUUUAAACCUCUUUUUCCAAUCAAGUUCCAUGGAAGAGAGGUUUUUAGCUAAGGAUCCCUUCUCCAUAUUCUCGUAGACCAAAAGCCUAUGCUUUUCGUCUGCACAGUAUCCCCACAUCUCUACCAAGUUCAUGUGAUUAAGCUUCCCAACAGUGCUUACUUCUGCUAGAAAUUCA
Molecule: unclassified non-coding RNA, 854 nt
Filed under: Hevea brasiliensis (rubber tree)
Lineage: Eukaryota; Viridiplantae; Streptophyta; Magnoliopsida; Malpighiales; Euphorbiaceae
Source: RNAcentral